AGGCGCCUUUAUGGGAGACCUGCUGCAGGCGGCCCGCCCAUUGGCCUGAGCGUGUCACGUGGCCACGCCUGGAGCCCGGCGGCGGGUAAAGUGCGCGAGGUAUCAGCUCCGCAGUCCGGCUUUCGCCGAGGUUCAAGGUCUUUCACCCUGGGAGUGCACGUUUGUUGAGCCUUUACUGAAUGCCAGCUGCCAGGAGAGAGAGGAGCUCCUUUUACUCUGUGCUGUCAAGCUGAAAGAACCACAUAAGCCUGCAGCUUAUGGUCCUAACCCCAGGCUUCAUGGAAGAAGCUCUCUGCAGAAUGAUGCCAACACACGGAGGGAGCCAGAGCUCUGGCAACAUUUACCACCAUCUGAAGCUAAACCAACCCUUCAACUUUCCAGUUGCUGGAGCCAAUACAUUCCCUUUUUCUUAAGCUAA
This is a long non-coding RNA of Panthera uncia (snow leopard), 418 nucleotides long. RefSeq lists it as uncharacterized. The transcript has 2 exons. NCBI's taxonomy places the organism in Eukaryota, Metazoa, Chordata, Mammalia, Carnivora, Felidae. The record is from RefSeq and is a predicted model, not a curated record.